UUACGGAGUUACCGCCUUUGAGCCUUUGAGCCUUUGAGCCUUUGAGCCUUUGAGCACGGGCUUUGAAAUAAAAAAUCAAAUGGGUUUCAACGAAAACUAGUAGCGCACCGCCCAUCAUAAUCCUCGCAAACCGUCCAAUUCAUCUUCAAAAAUCUUAUAACUGUCAAUUCCCUCUUCUUCUUCCUCUUCUCCAAGUAAUAAAAAACCUUCUUAUUCUCAUUCUUCUCCCACUCUCAUCUUAUUGCAUUCAUAUUCAUCAUCCUCUCUCCAAUAACCAAUUCCCAGUUUCAUACGUACCCCUUUUCCUUUCUUGAUUGUUAAGUUUGCUCUCUUCACCGACUUCCGAUUGGCGGCUAUGCGUUUCUUUUCUUCUCCCUUACGGUUACUGGGUUCUAUUUAGUUUUCAUAAUCUUCCUCUCUUCUUAUAUCAUUUUCGUUUCUUCAAUUGCCUUCUGGGUAUCUUUGGUUUUCUUCCUUUAUCACUAAUUUAGCCUUUGGGUUCGUUUUUCUUUGGUUUAUGAUUGAUUUCGGUUUCUAUAUAGCCUUGUUUCGGAUGUCUCUGUUUUAGAUAUCUGGAUUUUUUUCUUCGUUGUUUUAGUACUCUGUUUUUUGUUGUUAGUUGUGUAUUCAAUCGAUGGAGAACAAUCAGGAUCAAUGUCGGUUACAUUUUCAGCAAUUUGGGAACGAUCACCGUCUUGAGAAUGGAGUUGAGGCUUUAAUGCCUUCUUCCAAGACUUUAGGAAACCAUGAUUUCUCCGAUCGAUUCUCCGACGCCGGAGAUUCUUCGACUGGUCCUGAUCAGGACUCGGUGGUUUCGGAUUCUGAAAGUGGGAUUUCAGGGCCGAGUAUGGAGCACUUGGAAUGGAUCAAUGAGGGCUUGGUAAAACUUGUUGAAGAAAAUAAAAUUUACGACCUAAUCAAGAGAAGAUUCGUUACUGGUUUCGGAUUACUUGGUCCGCAAAUCACGGUCUCCUCCGUUUACAAGAAUAGUCAUUCGACUCAUAUUGGGCAAGCCCGUUUGCACACGUUUCAGAUUUACUCGCAAGCAGUAGAGAAGAAGAAUGGGGGUAAUGCCAAUGUCAAAUACGCUUGGUUGGGGGCUUCUAAAGAUCAAAUCAAUAGCAUUCUGGUCUAUGGUUUCUCCCAUUGCAACAAACCCGAGAGUUCGCAGUUUCUUGGCUGUGGCAUUUAUCUCUCCCCUGAUAAUCAUCCUCUAGAAAGUCUGGAAGAUACUGUUGUUGAUGAAGAUGGUUUAAGGCAUUUGUUACUCUGCCGUGUAAUAUUGGGGAAUUCCGAGCUUGUGCAUCCUGGUUCUAGACAGAAUCAUCCAAGUUCUGAAGCUUUUGAUUCUGGUGCUGAUAAUCUCUUUGCACCAGAGAAAUACGUAGUUUGGAGUACACACAUGAACACCCACAUCUUGCCUGAGUAUCUCAUCAGUUUCAGAACUCCUCCUCGCUUGAAAGGAACUUUAAAGGCUAAACAGCCUUUCAGAAUGCCAACCUCCCCUUGGAUGCCAUUUCCGUCUCUGAUUUCUGUUCUCUCUAAGUUUCUGCCUGCUCCUGAAAUUGCCAUGAUUACCAAGUUCCAUAAAGACCACAGGCUUCUAAAUUCUAGGAUCAUAAGAUUUCAAGACAUGAGUUGAUUAAGCGAGUGAGGCAGAUAGCGGGGGACAAGCUGUUGAUACAUGUAAUCAAAUCAUUCAGGACAAAGGAAAGUAAUGGGGAUGUUGGAUUUGAAGGAAAGAGAAGCAGAAAUGGAGAAAGCAAUGGACAGAAAGCAGCUGGGAGUGUAGAUUUACCAAUUUUGUUAGAGUAGUUGGAUUGUGAAGUUUGCAGUUUCUGUUCUGUUACGACAGAAGAUCGAAGUGUAAGCAAAGAAGGCAGGAACUCGAGGAACGAGUUGAAGCGAAACCAGUGGCUAAAACUAACAUUUUAUCUUCUUCAUCAUACUGUACAGCAAAUGCUUGUUUUUCAAGUGGAAGAAUUACAUUACCAGCAAAAUGUUGUUAUUACUGCUUUUACUUUAGAAAAUAAGAUGUGUUUGUGCUUCAAGACAGCGACCAUUAUUAGUUUCUUGAUGAUUUUCCCUUUUCUUUCUUAAUUUUAGAGAUGAAUAUGGUUCUUGUGGAGAA
Molecule: RNA transcript, 2131 nt
Organism: Benincasa hispida (wax gourd)
Lineage: Eukaryota; Viridiplantae; Streptophyta; Magnoliopsida; Cucurbitales; Cucurbitaceae
Gene name: putative inactive poly [ADP-ribose] polymerase SRO5
Source: RefSeq, a predicted model, not a curated record